Molecule: unclassified non-coding RNA, 333 nt
Filed under: Hevea brasiliensis (rubber tree)
Lineage: Eukaryota; Viridiplantae; Streptophyta; Magnoliopsida; Malpighiales; Euphorbiaceae
Source: RNAcentral
AUUUAGCACAAGUACAAGCCUGCUUUAAAUAGACUAUAAAUAGAGCAAACAAAACACCAGAAUAAGAUCUGUCCGUAACAGAGAGUGAGAAACAGAACAAUUUAACAAGUAGCACAUAAGUAGCUAACUGAAUGGUAACAAGGAAGCUGAAGCUGAUAUCAUUUGGCAAAGUUACAUGAUUGAAGCAAGCUUUUAUUCCACUAGCAUUUCUUCCACUGAAAUAUAUAUAUUUCUCAGCCAACUGAUAGCAGUCAAGUCCCUUUUAAGCACACAAUUUCUAGGAGUUUGAACUCUCACUCAACAACUUGAUCCCUCUGAAAUUUCCUUCGCAGC